Molecule: ribosomal RNA, 253 nt
Filed under: uncultured bacterium
Lineage: Bacteria
Description: partial 16S ribosomal RNA
Rfam family: Bacterial small subunit ribosomal RNA
Source: RNAcentral
UACGUAGGGUGCAAGCGUUAAUCGGAAUUACUGGGCGUAAAGAGUGCGUAGGCGGUUUUCUAAGUUUGGUGUGAAAUCUCCCGCUUAACCGGGAGGGUGCGCCGAAGACUGGAAGGCUUGAGUAUGGGAGAGGUAAGCGGAAUUCCUGGUGUAGCGGUGAAAUGCGCAGAUAUCAGGAAGAACACCCGUGGCGAAGGCGGCUCUCUGGGACGGUACUGACGCUGAGACGCGAAAGCGUGGGGGAGCGAACAGG